RNAcentral lists this ribosomal RNA (238 nucleotides) under uncultured bacterium. RNAcentral describes it as "partial 16S ribosomal RNA". It matches the Rfam family "Bacterial small subunit ribosomal RNA", at positions 524 to 759 of the family's 1533-position model. The record is from RNAcentral.
UACGGAGGGUGCGAGCGUUGUCCGGAAUCAUUGGGCGUAAAGGGCGCGUAGGUGGCCUGCUAAGCGUGCGGUGAAAGUCGGGGGGUCAACCCCCCGAUCGGCCGUGCGAACUGGGAGGCUUGAGCACUGUAGAGGCGGGUGGAAUUCCGGGUGUAGCGGUGGAAUGCGCAGAUAUCAGGAGGAACACCGGUGGCGAAGGCGGGUCUCUGGGGCAACAACUGCGCUGAGGGAGCGAAAG